UGAGAGAGGGAGACUCUGUGCACUCC
RNAcentral lists this non-coding RNA (26 nucleotides) under Homo sapiens (human). The record is from RNAcentral. Lineage: Eukaryota; Metazoa; Chordata; Mammalia; Primates; Hominidae.